UGCCUUAUGCAUGCAAAUAGAACGGGUCAGCCGCAAGGCUGAUCAGUUGUGAACGGCUGAGUAUAUGAUAGGAAUCUCCCCAAUGGUGUGGAAUACCCCAUCGAAAGAUGGGCUAAUACCGCAUGACAUCGCAAGAUAAAAGCGCUUAACUGCGCGCCGAUGGAUGAGCCUAUCUCCCAUCAGGCUGUUGGUAGGGUAAUGGCCUACCAAACCUAUGACGGGUACCCGCCCUGAGAGGGGAAACGGGCAGAAUGGGACUGAGACACGGCCCAUACACCUACGGGUGGCAGCAACAGGGAUUCGUGCGCAAUGGACGAAAGUCUGACGCCGCAAUGCCGCGUUAUGAUGAAGGCCUUCGGGUCGUAAACUCC
This 371-nucleotide ribosomal RNA is filed under the name uncultured organism. RNAcentral's name for it is "bacterial SSU rRNA". It matches the Rfam family "Bacterial small subunit ribosomal RNA", at positions 45 to 433 of the family's 1533-position model. The record is from RNAcentral.